This 170-nucleotide ribosomal RNA is filed under the name uncultured bacterium. Its description in RNAcentral is "partial 16S ribosomal RNA". It matches the Rfam family "Bacterial small subunit ribosomal RNA", at positions 357 to 526 of the family's 1533-position model. The record is from RNAcentral.
GGGCAUUCGCAUGGGCGAGCCUGACGGAGCACGCCGCGUGAGUGAUGAAGGGUUUCGGCUCGUAAAACUCUGUUAUUAGGGAAGAACAUAUGUGUAAGUAACUGUGCACAUCUUGACGGUACCUAAUCAGAAAGCCACGGCUAACUACGUGCCAGCAGCCGCGGUAAUAA